This 1446-nucleotide ribosomal RNA is filed under the name uncultured organism. RNAcentral's name for it is "SSU rRNA". It matches the Rfam family "Bacterial small subunit ribosomal RNA". The record is from RNAcentral.
UGAACGCUAGCUACAGGCUUAACACAUGCAAGUCGAGGGGCAUCAGGAAGAAAGCUUGCUUUCUUUGCUGGCGACCGGCGCACGGGUGAGUAACACGUAUCCAACCUGCCCUUUACUCGGGGAUAGCCUUUCGAAAGAAAGAUUAAUACCCGAUGGCAUAAUGAUUCCGCAUGGUUUCAUUAUUAAAGGAUUCCGGUAAAGGAUGGGGAUGCGUUCCAUUAGGUUGUUGGUGAGGUAACGGCUCACCAAGCCUUCGAUGGAUAGGGGUUCUGAGAGGAAGGUCCCCCACAUUGGAACUGAGACACGGUCCAAACUCCUACGGGAGGCAGCAGUGAGGAAUAUUGGUCAAUGGGCGCUAGCCUGAACCAGCCAAGUAGCGUGAAGGAUGAAGGCUCUAUGGGUCGUAAACUUCUUUUAUAUAAGAAUAAAGUGCAGUAUGUAUACUGUUUUGUAUGUAUUAUAUGAAUAAGGAUCGGCUAACUCCGUGCCAGCAGCCGCGGUAAUACGGAGGAUCCGAGCGUUAUCCGGAUUUAUUGGGUUUAAAGGGAGCGUAGGUGGACUGGUAAGUCAGUUGUGAAAGUUUGCGGCUCAACCGUAAAAUUGCAGUUGAUACUGUCAGUCUUGAGUACAGUAGAGGUGGGCGGAAUUCGUGGUGUAGCGGUGAAAUGCUUAGAUAUCACGAAGAACUCCGAUUGCGAAGGCAGCUCACUGGACUGCAACUGACACUGAUGCUCGAAAGUGUGGGUAUCAAACAGGAUUAGAUACCCUGGUAGUCCACACAGUAAACGAUGAAUACUCGCUGUUUGCGAUAUACAGUAAGCGGCCAAGCGAAAGCAUUAAGUAUUCCACCUGGGGAGUACGCCGGCAACGGUGAAACUCAAAGGAAUUGACGGGGGCCCGCACAAGCGGAGGAACAUGUGGUUUAAUUCGAUGAUACGCGAGGAACCUUACCCGGGCUUAAAUUGCAGUGGAAUGAUGUGGAAACAUGUCAGUGAGCAAUCACCGCUGUGAAGGUGCUGCAUGGUUGUCGUCAGCUCGUGCCGUGAGGUGUCGGCUUAAGUGCCAUAACGAGCGCAACCCUUAUCUUUAGUUACUAACAGGUUAUGCUGAGGACUCUAGAGAGACUGCCGUCGUAAGAUGUGAGGAAGGUGGGGAUGACGUCAAAUCAGCACGGCCCUUACGUCCGGGGCUACACACGUGUUACAAUGGGGGGUACAGAAGGCAGCUAGCGGGUGACCGUAUGCUAAUCCCAAAAGCCUCUCUCAGUUCGGAUCGAAGUCUGCAACCCGACUUCGUGAAGCUGGAUUCGCUAGUAAUCGCGCAUCAGCCACGGCGCGGUGAAUACGUUCCCGGGCCUUGUACACACCGCCCGUCAAGCCGUGGGAGCCGGGGGUACCUGAAGUACGUAACCGCAAGGAUCGUCCUAGGGUAAAACUGGUGACUGGG